RNAcentral lists this ribosomal RNA (433 nucleotides) under uncultured bacterium. RNAcentral describes it as "bacterial SSU rRNA". It matches the Rfam family "Bacterial small subunit ribosomal RNA", at positions 28 to 456 of the family's 1533-position model. The record is from RNAcentral.
GACGAACGCUGGCGGCGCGCCUAACACAUGCAAGUCGAACGGAGCUUAGAGAGCUUGCUUUUUAAGCUUAGUGGCGAACGGGUGAGUAACGCGUGAGUAACCUGCCCUAGAGUGGGGGACAACAGUUGGAAACGACUGCUAAUACCGCAUAAGCCCACGGUACCGCAUGAUACUGAGGGAAAAGGAUUUAUUCGCUUUAGGAUGGACUCGCGUCCAAUUAGCUAGUUGGUGAGGUAACGGCCCACCAAGGCGACGAUUGGUAGCCGGACUGAGAGGUUGAACGGCCACAUUGGGACUGAGACACGGCCCAGACUCCUACGGGAGGCAGCAGUGGGGGAUAUUGCACAAUGGGGGAAACCCUGAUGCAGCGACGCCGCGUGGAGGAAGAAGGUUUUCGGAUUGUAAACUCCUGUCGUUAGGGACGAUAAUGACG